CACGUAGGGGGCAAGCGUUGUCCGGAAUCAUUGGGCGUAAAGAGCUCGUAGGCGGCUCAGUAAGUCGGGUGUGAAACCCUCAGGCUCAACCUGGGGACGCCACCCGAUACUGCUGUGGCUAGAGUCCAGUAGGGGAGUGUGGAAUUCCCGGUGUAGCGGUGAAAUGCGCAGAUAUCGGGAGGAACACCAAUGGCGAAGGCAGCUCGCUGGGACGUUACUGACGCUGAGACGCGAAAGCGUGGGGAGCAAACAGG
This 254-nucleotide ribosomal RNA is filed under the name uncultured bacterium. Its description in RNAcentral is "partial 16S ribosomal RNA". It matches the Rfam family "Bacterial small subunit ribosomal RNA", at positions 524 to 776 of the family's 1533-position model. The record is from RNAcentral.